Molecule: ribosomal RNA, 436 nt
Filed under: uncultured Bacillota bacterium
Lineage: Bacteria; Bacillati; Bacillota
Description: bacterial SSU rRNA
Rfam family: Bacterial small subunit ribosomal RNA
Source: RNAcentral
GGGCCCGCACAAGCAGUGGAGUAUGUGGUUUAAUUCGAAGCAACGCGAAGAACCUUACCAGGUCUUGACAUCGAGUGCAUAACCUAGAGAUAGGCGAAGCCCUUCGGGGCACUCAGACAGGUGGUGCAUGGUUGUCGUCAGCUCGUGUCGUGAGAUGUUGGGUUAAGUCCCGCAACGAGCGCAACCCUUACUGAUAGUUACUACGCGAAGAGGACUCUAUCGGGACUGCCGUUGACAAACGGAGGAAGGCGGGGAUGACGUCAAAUCAUCAUGCCCUUUAUGACCUGGGCUACACACGUACUACAAUGGCCGCUAACAACGGGGAUCGAAGAGGCGACUCGGAGGGAAUCCUGAAAAGCGGUCUCAGUUCGGAUCGCAGGCUGCAACCCGCCUGCGUGAAGUCGGGAAUUGCUAGUAAUCGCGGAUCAGCAUGCCG